AACGUAGGUGGCGAGCGUUAUCCGGAUUCAUUGGGCGUAAAGAGCUUGUAGGUGGUGCGAUAAGUUGGACGUGAAAACUCCGGGCUUAACUUGGAGAGGCCGUUCAAUACUGUUGUGCUAGAGGGCGUCAGAGGGAAGUGGAAUUCCUGGUGUAGCAGUGAAAUGCGUAGAUAUCAGGAGGAACACCCGUGGCGAAGGCGGCUUCCUGGGACGUACCUGACACUGAGAAGCGAAAGCUAGGGGAGCAAACGGGAGUAGAAACCCCGGUAGUCCUAGCUGUAAACGAUGGAUGCUAGGUGUGAGUGGAUCUAACCCCGCUCGUGCCGGAGCUAACGCGUUAAGCAUCCCGCCUGGGAACUACGAGCGCAAGCUUAAA
This 376-nucleotide ribosomal RNA is filed under the name uncultured bacterium. RNAcentral describes it as "bacterial SSU rRNA". It matches the Rfam family "Bacterial small subunit ribosomal RNA", at positions 524 to 898 of the family's 1533-position model. The record is from RNAcentral.